Molecule: ribosomal RNA, 502 nt
Filed under: uncultured bacterium
Lineage: Bacteria
Description: bacterial SSU rRNA
Rfam family: Bacterial small subunit ribosomal RNA
Source: RNAcentral
UGGCUCAGGACGAACGCUGGCGGCGUGCUUAACACAUGCAAGUCGAACGAGGAUUAUGUGGAGGGGCUUCGGCCUGGAAGAUGUAAUUCGAGUGGCGGACGGGUGAGUAACGCGUGAACAAUCUGUCCCGGACAGGGGAAUAACACUUGGAAACAGGUGCUAAUACCGCAUAAGACCACGCCCUCGCAUGGGGGAGGGGUAAAAGGAGCAAUCCGGUUCGGGGUGAGUUCGCGUCCGAUUAGAUAGUUGGUGAGGUAACGGCCCACCAAGUCGACGAUCGGUAGCCGACCUGAGAGGGUGAUCGGCCACAUUGGAACUGAGAGACGGUCCAAACUCCUACGGGAGGCAGCAGUGGGGAAUAUUGGGCAAUGGGCGAAAGCCCUGACCCAGCAACGCCGCGUGAGUGAAGAAGGCUUUCGGGUUGUAAAGCUCUGUUAUAGGGGACGAAGGAAGUGACGGUACCCUAUAAGGAAGCCCCGGCUAACUACGUGCCAGCCGCAGC